AAAAAAAAUUAAAUUGAUUAAAAAUCAAAAAGGUUGUUAAAAAAAAAAUACAAAAGAUUGUAAAAAAAAUUCAAAAAAGAAAUAAAAAAUU
This 91-nucleotide ribosomal RNA is filed under the name Thalassiothrix antarctica. RNAcentral describes it as "partial Trypanosomatid mitochondrial large subunit ribosomal RNA". The record is from RNAcentral. Lineage: Eukaryota; Bacillariophyta; Fragilariophyceae; Thalassionematales; Thalassionemataceae.